CCGACCUUAGCUCAGUUGGUAGAGCAGAGGACUGUAGUGGUUAUUACCUGAAUGAGAUCCUUAGGUUUCUUGUUUGAAUCUGGUAGGUCGGA
Transfer RNA from Ipomoea nil (Japanese morning glory), 92 nucleotides. It matches the Rfam family "tRNA". Rfam says of the family: Transfer RNA (tRNA) molecules are approximately 80 nucleotides in length. Their secondary structure includes four short double-helical elements and three loops (D, anti-codon, and T loops). NCBI's taxonomy places the organism in Eukaryota, Viridiplantae, Streptophyta, Magnoliopsida, Solanales, Convolvulaceae. The record is from Rfam.